CUUCUCCCUAGGUAAGGCGGGUCCCAGAGCCCCUUUAAUUUGACAGGAAGGCCCUUACCUUUUGGGUAUCUGACCCUUGGAGAAGUGCUGCCCUUGCUGAAAUGUUCCCUGUGGUCCAUGAAAUCCAAUUAGAGGAACUUAUGAGUUCCUUUUCUGCCUUGCCCAGAGAGGCCACUGUCCCUCCUUGUAUGCGUUUCUAGGAUCCCAAGGAUCAGGAAAUGGGGCAGGUCAGUGCCACACAGCCAGAGAGGCAGUAUGCCAGCUUCUGGUCCUGGCUAGGAUGCUUGUCCACUGACUAGGAUCUGUGUGGGAGCUAGAGCCACACACGCAGCUGAAUAUGUGAUCUGGGCAUUGUGGCCCUCUCCUGCAGGGGUAUGGCCACCCUUUGUCAUCAAUGGGUAGUAAAAUGGCCUAUCUCUCCUGCUGCAGCCAGUCUUGCCUAUCUCUCCUGCUGCAGCCAGUCCUACUUACAAGAUCAUAUAUUUCCCAAGUCGGGACCAAGGAGGAGCAGUCAGAGACCAACUGGCACAUGGGCACCUGUGCCAAGCCCUCCUAGCCUCUUUCCUCCAGGGCCACUCUGUGCAGGGUCUGGAGGAGAGAGAGGGUGCUAAGCUUCAGCUGAGAGCCCCGAGGUACAGAACACAGGCUCGGUGGGGCUCCUUGAAGAAACCGGGGGAUGAAAUUAUGAGCUCUGGUUACCCCUUGUGCAACCUCCUGAGAUCAGAGCUUGAGCAAGACCUGGUAUGGGGGAGGGAGGGAGGGAACCACAAAACCCACAGGGCAGAGGGCAAUGCACAUCACUACCAGCGUGACAAAACCCUGCCAUCACUCAGGACAGAUGGAGGCUACACCUGGAACACAAGUCUGCAUGGUUGGGCCUGGCUCACUGUGGGUGCCGUCUGUGGUUUACUGAUGGGAAAUAAAACCCAAGGGCCGAAAAGUUGCUCAGUGGGUAGAGCAUGAGAACCCUGAGUUCAGAUCCUCAGAGCCCACAUUAAAGUAAAACCAGCUCUGGGAGGAGGGGGGAAGAUAGGCAGGUUCAGGGGGUUCGCUGGCCAGCUACUAGAACCAAAAAAGAUGAGCUCUGGUUCCGUGAGAGACGAUGGUUCUUCUUUUGUUUGCUUUGAGUUUUGUUUUGCUUUUUUAAAUGGUGAGUGGAUAAAUGAUUAAGGAGGAUCCUUGAUGUCAACCCCUGGUCUCCACAUGCAAGCAAGUACAAGUACCUACACAUGUACAUGUGUGCACACAUGCACACGUAGACAAGAUAGAGAGAGAGAGAGGGAGAAGGAAAUCCAGGUGACUCAGGCCUUUCCGAGGACAAGCUUGAGCACAGUAGUGUCCUCAUGACUGUCAAGGCCACAUCAUUGGGGAGACAUCGUCUCAACCUCCCCAUCUUUCUGCCGAUGGCUGCCUCAAAAGCAUUUCGGAUCUGCUUUUCCAUGGGGCUAACUCCCAGCCGAUGUGCGUUCAGCGUGCAUUGGCCACAGGGUACUUCGGAGCGAGCCCUGGUUCUUCAUGGAGCCCUCUGUCUGGUGGAGUAGCCCAAGUCUAUGUCUGCCUCCUGUGGUCUUUCUUGAUUUUUUUUUAAGACUUGCAGCCUGUAUGAGACCUCAUGUGACUGAGGAUAGCUGUGCUUUCCACCCAAAACAAAAUCAUACACUUAAAACAUUACGAGUUUGCUUUUUCUUUUGUCCUUUGUAACUCAGUUGCUCAGUUUGGGGUGGGAACUUUGCAGAUGGUGUCACUGUGCUGAAAUGUCAAAGCAUAAGACCUGAGAAUCAUUGGCAUUUGCAGUUCAAUGUACUGUUAUUACAUUACCAAUCGUUCUGUGUGCAGGCUUGCCAAGAGGGCAUGGAUGCCCAACCUCAGGUGGGUUUGAGGGCAUUGCCAGGUGGGCUGAUCUGUAGAAGAGCAGAGUCUUGUCCCCAGAUUUCCCACCAGAGAAUUCCCGUGAUUCUUCAUUUCAGGCGCCAUUGUUCCCCAGGGGACAUUUGGCAAUGCCUAGAGAUCAUUCUUGUCUCGGGUUUACAGAGGAGUGCGGAGGUCCUGCCUCUAGAGGGUGGAGGCCAGAGGUGCUGCUCAUCCACACACACAGGAUGGACCCUAUGGCUGAGUGCUACCCAGCCCCCAAAUGCCAACGGCACCGAAGAUGGGAGACUCCAUCAGACCUCAGAGUCCAAAUCGAUGGGGAGUUUUCCAAAGCUGCACCCGUCAUGUGUGAGUCAGAUCACACGUGGGUCAGAGAAAAUCAGAGCACAGAGGCUGCUCAAGGUGAGAGAAUGUCAGCCAUGUGACUGCUCCCUGGGUGGAGAUGACCCUACGAUACAGCCAGACUGCUGAGGCUGAGCCUGCCUCCCACCUGUGACUCUGUCCAGGACCUCUGAGGCCUGCCUCUCACCAGGGCACCUGAGAAACAUGAUCAGUGGAGAGCUCCUGAUGGGGACAGGAACAGCAUCUGACAAAUCCAGGUCUCCUUUCUGACCCUCUGUGUCCCCCAGCCCUGCUCGCCAAAGCUGCAGACAUUCUAACUCUUUCUUCUGUCUAACUCUUUCCGGAAUUCUUACCCAUCACCUGCUGCUCACGGAUUCCAGCCGUUCACCAGGAGAGCAUCAGCCAAGCUUCUGUGUUUGUGACGAUUGCUUAGCCAGCUUGUAAAUGUGACAUGGAGGUACUUUAACUGUUGUUCUGGGUCCCUGCUGCCCAGGCACCUGGUUCUCUGUGUAUUACUGGCUUCUAUUUUGCAGCAGAAAGGUUCUUUGCUGAUGUAAGAUUAACGUGUGCUCUCUUGAAGGUAUGAUGGUGACACUUCCCUGUGUUAGCUUUCUUGCUAUGGUUGUCAUUUUCUAUUUCAAUUAAACAAAAGGAAGAUUUAACUCUG
Molecule: long non-coding RNA, 2878 nt
Filed under: Mus musculus (house mouse)
Lineage: Eukaryota; Metazoa; Chordata; Mammalia; Rodentia; Muridae
Description: long non-coding RNA chr12:105490217-105493095
Source: RNAcentral